UGGCGGCCAUAGCGCGGUGGACCCACCUGAUUCCAUGCCGAACUCAGAAGUGAAACGCCGUAGCGCCGAUGGUAGUGUGGGGUCUCCCCAUGCGAGAGUAGGACACUGCCAGGCA
RNAcentral lists this ribosomal RNA (115 nucleotides) under Yersinia kristensenii. The record is from RNAcentral. RNAcentral also lists the same sequence under 2 other names. Lineage: Bacteria; Pseudomonadati; Pseudomonadota; Gammaproteobacteria; Enterobacterales; Yersiniaceae.